Molecule: ribosomal RNA, 424 nt
Filed under: uncultured Mycoplasmatota bacterium
Lineage: Bacteria; Bacillati; Mycoplasmatota
Description: bacterial SSU rRNA
Rfam family: Bacterial small subunit ribosomal RNA
Source: RNAcentral
GGACCUGCACAAAUGGUGGAGCAUGUUGUUUAAUUCGACAGUACACGCUGAACCUUACCAAGACUUGACAUUUCCUGCAAAGUUAUAGAAAUAUGAUGGAGGUUAACAGGAUAACAGGUGGUGCAUGGUUGUCGUCAGUUCGUGUCGUGAGAUGUUGGGUUAAGUCCCGCAACGAACGCAACCCCUUUCGCUAGUUAAUUUAUCUAACGAGACUGCUAACGCAAGUUAGAGGAAGGUGGGGACGAUGUCAAAUCAUCAUGCCCCUUACGUCUUGGGCCACAAACGUGCUACAAUGGCUAUUACAAACUGUUGCCAAACCGCAAGGUGGAGCUAAUCAAGAAAAAGGUAGUCUCAGUUCAGAUCGAGGGCUGCAAUUCGUCCUCGUGAAGUUGGAAUCAUUAGUAAUCACGAAUCAGACAUGUCG